GACCACUCGCUGUUAAACAAGAAGAAGACGGUAUAUCCAAUCACAUGCGCAUGUUGCUGUGACGUGCUCUUGGAAGAAGGUCCUUGUGAUUUCAAAUUCUCCGUGGAAAAAUUUGGGUUUGACGGCGUUCAAGAGCAGAGCUCUCUACAUUUGGACCAACAGCUCAAAUGGAAACUAGAGCACAAGAUCAGAAUGAAGCUCCCACACAUGGCCUUAUGACUGUUGCCCCAGUGAAGAACCUGAGGUCCAGCCUUCCCCACUCAAGACAUGCCUGAGACAAGAGUGACUGUAUUCCAAGUUGAUCCAAGGUGAUCCUAACUUAAAUGUAGUUCACCGCUUGAAAAAGAAAAAAUACUCAACACUAUUAAUGUUGAAAUCAUUGGUCUAUGGUUAUUACUGUCCUGAAACUACCCUUCACCCUUUUUAUGUUUUUGUAUCUAGUUUUGUAUGUUUGUCUCAUCUUCUGUACCAUAAUUAUGCUUGCACAUAUUGCCUACCUAGAAAUGUAACUUGAACCUGAUCUCAAUGGUUGGGAUGGCAGGUAUGCCAUCCCGCCAAGUUACGCCUUGGCGGGGGCAUGCCCCAUACCUAUACAGCACCGAGAGUCUGGCACUUUUCAGGGUUCCCCACAGAAAUAACCACAACAGCCACAGACACUCAGCCCUUAAAAACAUUAAAUUCUGUACAUUCUGACCCCAUUUCAACAGACAGAAUUCAUAAACAACUUCACAUGUCCACACAAUAAAGCCCCAAACUAAGGAGAUUUCGCGUUUUCUCCUUCUUCUUCUUCUUCUACUUCUUCUCAUUCUU
This is a long non-coding RNA of Anguilla rostrata (American eel), 810 nucleotides long. RefSeq lists it as uncharacterized. The transcript has 3 exons. The record is from RefSeq and is a predicted model, not a curated record. NCBI's taxonomy places the organism in Eukaryota, Metazoa, Chordata, Actinopteri, Anguilliformes, Anguillidae.